This 73-nucleotide small nucleolar RNA is filed under the name Leersia perrieri. The record is from RNAcentral. Lineage: Eukaryota; Viridiplantae; Streptophyta; Magnoliopsida; Poales; Poaceae.
GAGCCGAUGACACUUUAUGUUUCUACUGAUAUAUUUGAUGUCUAAAAAUCGAGCUUUUUAAAACUGAUGCUCA